Long non-coding RNA from Panthera uncia (snow leopard), 1260 nucleotides. RefSeq lists it as uncharacterized. The record is from RefSeq and is a predicted model, not a curated record. Lineage: Eukaryota; Metazoa; Chordata; Mammalia; Carnivora; Felidae. The transcript is spliced from 7 exons.
GGCACGGCUGCGGAGAGGCGGUCCUUUGAAGAUGCGCGACGUUCUCAGUUCCUGUGAAUGAGAUUCCAAAAGACAAGUCCUUCCCACUCCCUAACUCCAUCGAUCAAGAAGUUUCUCCUGAAGGUAUGGACUCGAUCCGGAGCCAGUGAUAAAUGAGUGCCUACUGGCUGAAUAUGAAUGUGUCCAGGUCUUCUCAGUGCUCCCUGUGGACCCCAGAAGGAACCUGCUUGUAUUGCAAGGCCUGAAAUGCUGUGUGCUGCCUUGACUUCUCUGAGCUUCACAGAGCCCCACCUUGCUCUUAUCAGACAUGUCCCCACCCAGCGGGAAACUCUCUCCUCCUGGCUAGUCCCCCUCCCAGCUGGACCAGCUGCUCCCCAUUCGGUUCUCCAUCUAAUGGUUUCACCUCCCAGCCAGCCUGUGGAAUUAUUCAAACAAGCCAAUCACAUUCUCCCUUGGAGACCAGGGGCACCCCACCCUUCAGUUAGUAAAUGUGUGUUAUCUACAGCCUCUGUGGGUUCCCUGUGCUCCCGAGUGCAGCCCCAGAUGGCCCUGUGUCAUGUGCAGUGUCUUCCCCCUGGCUGCUGGAUUUUCCAGCAACAGGCACCAUGAUGGAGUUUGAUGUACGGAAACCUCAAGACUUUCUCCUGCCCCAGCCUCUGCUGACCACAACCACGCAAGGGACCUGGAGGAGUGCCAUCUAGCUGAGCUCUGGAACCAUGAAAAUAAUAAAAAUAAAUGAUUAUUGUUUAACACUCUCAGGUUGGAGUGGCUUGUUGAGCAGUAAUAGAUGCUUGGAUCACUGAUCACUUAGGCGUCUCUUUUGGCGAUUUGGAAGAUCACGAGGGCCAUAAGCCAUGCUCUUUAAGAGGGCUGGUGGUAGGAGGUACCCAGGCUGCCAUAACUUCCCACCAGACCUGCAUGCCAGGCUUCAGGAUGGCCAGGGACCUUGGGCUAUGGGAUUCCUCUGGCUGGACCCCUUGCCUGGGGAGGCAUUGGCUGCUUGGCCCUUGGGGAAAAACCCACCCUUCCUCCUCCGGCAGAGCUGGGAAGAUAUCCAGGGCCAGCUGUGUGCUUUGGAAAGCUACUCCUGUGGUUCCUCGUCUCUCUCCCCUGUGCGGGAGUGUAAGAUUAACCUCCAGUUUUAUACCCUGGAACUCCAAGUACCAUACAAGUUUCAGUGUUUUUCAGGUGCAAGUUCUUUGUUUGGCUUUAGCAAAUGAGUACAAUAACAAGCUGGAAUAUGCAGGUCCUCAGGGGGGU